GAUAAUGGCUCAGGAUGAACGCUAGCGACAGGCUUAACACAUGCAAGUCGAGGGGCAGCACAGGGUAGCAAUACUUGGGUGGCGACCGGCGCACGGGUGAGUAACGCGUAUGCAACUUACCUAUCAGAGGGGGAUAGCCCGGCGAAAGUCGGAUUAAUACCCCAUGAAACAGGGGUCCCGCAUGGGAAUAUUUGUUAAAGAUUCAUCGCUGAUAGAUAGGCAUGCGUUCCAUUAGG
This 236-nucleotide ribosomal RNA is filed under the name uncultured bacterium. Its description in RNAcentral is "partial 16S ribosomal RNA". It matches the Rfam family "Bacterial small subunit ribosomal RNA", at positions 15 to 245 of the family's 1533-position model. The record is from RNAcentral.